This 497-nucleotide ribosomal RNA is filed under the name uncultured bacterium. RNAcentral's name for it is "partial 16S ribosomal RNA". It matches the Rfam family "Bacterial small subunit ribosomal RNA", at positions 28 to 507 of the family's 1533-position model. The record is from RNAcentral.
GAUGAACGCUGGCGGCGUGCCUAAUACAUGCAAGUCGAGCGAACGGACGAGAAGCUUGCUUCUCUGAUGUUACCGACGGACGGGUGAGUAACACGUAGAUAACCUCCCUAUAAGACUGGGAUAACUUCGGGAAACCGGAGCUAAUACCGGUUAAUAUUUUGAACCUCAUGGUUCAAAAGUGACAGACGGUCUUGCUGUCACUCAUAGAUGGCUCCGAGCUGCAUUAGCUAGUUAGUAAGGUACCGGCGUACCAAGGCAACGAUGCAUAGCCGACCUGCGAGGGUGAGUAGCCACCCUGGGACGGAGAUCCGGUACAGAGUCCCACGGGAAGCAGCCGUAGGGAAACGGGCGGCAUGGGCGGAAGACUUAGGGCGAUAGGCCGCGUGAGUGAUGAAGGUAUUCGGAUUGUAAAAUGAUGUUAUUAGGGAAGAAAAUAGGUGUAAGUAACGGUGCACAUCUUGACGGUACCUAAUCAGAAAGCCACGGCUAACUACGUG